AAAUUUGUGUAAAGCCUGAAAAAAAAUAUUGUAGAAUCCUUCUCUCCUCCAGAGAUAUUCUUUUGGAGUUUUCUGUACAACCAAAAUGGGCAUAUGCAAUUCAUAUCUUUAAAAGAAUUUGAAGUUCCAAAUCAAUUAUUCUUCUACCUCUGUCUUUAUUUGGAAAGCUAAUUUAACAGAUCAUUGCUAUAUAAGACAAUAUUUUACUGGGGAAAAAAGGUCAUCUUGCUGUUACAGGUAAGCACACACAAAUAAUUUUGCACUACAAAGUUUAUCUGCUUCUUGGCUAUUUGCUUGUCUCACCAGGGUGAGACAAAGGAUGUUUUUAUAGUUACCAUGUACUCAAGAAGAAUCCUGGAAGGGGAAAGAAUCACCAUCCUGCAUCGCUGGCUGCCAUGGUGAUGGGGUUCCAGGGGAGCAUCACAGAGGGGGAGCACCCCACCCACCUCAGUGCCCUGCUGGCAGAGCUGUCCCUUUCCUCCUCCCCAGUACAGUCUUGUGGACAUCCUGGCUUUUCUGGGAUGCUGGCAGAUGGGCUAACUACUUUCUAAAGAAGCAUCAGUUGCUUUUAUCUCUGCCAGUGAAGUGGCAUGCAGAGGUCAGGUUCCUUCCGUGUGGCUGGAGAGAAGAGCUGUGUUCAGCUUUGCAGAGAACAGGUUACCUGUGAGCAGGACAACCCCAAAUACGGGAAAAAAAUUACAUCUGGCAACAUCUGGGAACCAGAAGAAGCCUAAAGCAGAAAGCAGAGAGGGAGGAUGUGUCAGAGAUUGACACCAUUAAGUUUUUUUAAAGCUAAUCUAUCUCUACCUUCACAGUGGUAGGUGGAAGUGGAAAGAAAACUCAUUGUGUGUUUAAAAAACAGGUCAUCUUCAAGAAAUGUCACAGAAACCUUGAGCAGACAUGAGCAAACAGCCCUGGGGGAGUAAUUUGUCUUUGCUGUCAAGAGGAAAAUUAAGACUCCAGGGGAC
This 968-nucleotide long non-coding RNA is filed under the name Cyanistes caeruleus (blue tit). RNAcentral's name for it is "lncRNA (ENSCCEG00000010862.1)". Lineage: Eukaryota; Metazoa; Chordata; Aves; Passeriformes; Paridae. The record is from RNAcentral.